This 310-nucleotide unclassified non-coding RNA is filed under the name plant metagenome. RNAcentral describes it as "partial contains small subunit ribosomal RNA, internal transcribed spacer 1, and 5.8S ribosomal RNA". The record is from RNAcentral.
UUUCCGUAGGUGAACCUGCGGAAGGAUCAUUAUUGAAUGAACUUGGUGUGGUUGUUGCUGGCCCCCCUCAAGGGGGCAUGUGCACGCCCGCCAUCCUCAUCUCUUCACCCUGUGCACCUUUUGUAGGCUUGGAUAGAUUUUUUUUCCGAGGCAACUCGGUCGGGAGGAAUGCUGUGCGCAAGCCGGCUUUCUUUGCAAUUUUUCCAAGUUUAUGUUUUUCAUAUACCCCAUUAGUACGUAACAGAAUGUCAUUGGGCGCUUAGCGCCUAUAAGGUUUAUACAACUUUCAGCAACGGAUCUCUUGGCUCUC